AUACGGAGGGGGUUAGCGUUGUUCGGAAUUACUGGGCGUAAAGCGCACGUAGGCGGAUUGGAAAGUUGGGGGUGAAAUCCCAGGGCUCAACCCUGGAACUGCCUCCAAAACUAACAGUCUAGAGUUCGAGAGAGGUGAGUGGAAUUCCAAGUGUAGAGGUGAAAUUCGUAGAUAUUUGGAGGAACACCAGUGGCGAAGGCGGCUCACUGGCUCGAUACUGACGCUGCGGUGCGAAAGCGUGGGGAGCAAACAGGAUUAGAAACCCUAGUAGUCC
RNAcentral lists this ribosomal RNA (274 nucleotides) under uncultured bacterium. RNAcentral describes it as "partial 16S ribosomal RNA". It matches the Rfam family "Bacterial small subunit ribosomal RNA", at positions 523 to 796 of the family's 1533-position model. The record is from RNAcentral.